CACACACACACACACGAGCACACUCCAGAGACCACACGCUUCCACGGACACCGGCUUUUACAGGAUCGCUUCUCCACCCGCCUACUCAUCCUUCGGUGUCUCACGAGCACAGCCGUAACACCUAAACACACGUGUAUUGGUGGCCUUGGUCUUUGUAAACGCUCUUUUUUUUCAGCGCGCGCUGGACAUACGCCCUACACACACACAGACGCACGGCAAGCAUCAUUGCGAACGGCAUCGACCCCCUUGCCUUCCCUCCUCCUCCUCCCCUCUCCGAAGCGUACACCCACACGCACAACAACAACAUAGGGGGUCAUCACCGGGCCGUAGGAACCAAGAGAACCAGAGGGCACCAAACGAAAGCGGAAAAAGACGCCGGCAGCAGCAUCAUCCUAAUAGUAAGUGCAUACAUACACAUAUAUGUGUGUGCAUGUAUGUGUAUAUAUAUAUAUAUAUAUGCCUAUCUGUAAACAACCAGAAUACGCGUAACGAAGAGGCAGCAGCGACGACGACGACGGCAAGGGGAAUAAGAAGCCAAAUCGGGAUCACACGACACCACGAUCCGCCACACGGCCCCUUACUCCGUGUAUCUACCCCUCGUGUACAUCGGCAGGGGCGAGGUUAACACGUAAACGAAGUAAAAAAAAAGAGGAAACACACGCAAGGCACCCGAAGGAUCGACAGACACGCACACGCACACGCAGAGAGAGAGAGCGAGAGAGAAAGAGGGGGACGAGCACGAGCGCGAAAGCGGCCGACUUGGGCAACAUCAAGGCAAGGGCGUGAGAGUGUGGAGGGGGGCAGAUCUCUCUCUCUCCUCACCAACGUUCACACGCGCGAGCACUGCGCCGUCCUUCUUUUUUUUUUCGUUCCACUUCUCGGCACGCGCGAGAGAAUCUCCGUAGACCUCCCCCAACGCAGCACAGCAGAGCUCGGCGCGAAUCUUGAUUCGCGCGCCUCUUCUUCCUCUUUAGCUCCUUUCGUGUCGUCGCACUGGCCGACCCGUGCAGCAUCUGCCCGUCCACCGAUCUACCCAUAUCUACACCGAUACAUACACGGGUGACGCUUGUGUCAGCACCGCCUUCCGACUCCUGCGUGUCUCUUUGAGUUUUGUGCGCCCUGCUUGAAAGCAUUUUUCGCUUGGUGGCGUGACUUUCACGCCUUAGGUGACGUCUUCGGCCCGUCUCUCUCUCUCUCUCUGCUACGUUGAACACGCGGAGCGACAUCGCGUAAAGGGGGCUGCUGUGCUCACAGACGAGGCAGACGUGCGAAUACGCAUAACCAUCGAGAGGACGACAAGGGCUUAUCCGAAGGGGGAGCAGCUCGCCCUUCCGGUGAUCAUAGGUAUCAGCGUCAAAAGACGUGCAGGGAGGAGCCGGGGCGUGCACCCGAAUCGUGUGUUGGGGGAACACCGUGAUCAUCUUGUGUCCCUCGGGUGUGUGUGUGUGUGUAUCUUGUGUUUUGUUUUCGUUUUUAUUCGCCCUUUUCACCUUGUUGUGCUGGGGGCUUGUGGCUGAUAUCCAUCCGCGUAGUCGACGUGUAGCCGGCCGAUACGAUCAUCUGUGCCUUCCUCCUUCCCUCCCUCCCUUCCCCCCCAAAAAAAAGGAAGGGCGAACAAACAUCAACACACGUGGCGGCUGAAGCAGACAGAGAAAAAAAGGCGGGUUCGAUGGAACACUACGCGAAAGCGGAGCUCGUGCUGCACGGCGGCGAGCGCUUCGAGGGCUACUCCUUCGGCUAUGAGGAGAGCGUGGCGGGCGAGGUGGUCUUCGCGACGGGCAUGGUCGGCUACCCGGAAAGUCUGAGCGACCCGUCGUACCACGGCCAGAUUCUCGUGCUGACGUCGCCGAUGGUGGGCAAUUACGGCGUGCCGCGGGUCGAGGAGGACCUCUUCGGGGUGACCAAGUACUUUGAGAGCACAGACGGCCAGAUCCACGUGAGUGCCGUGGUGGUGCAGGAGUACUGCGACCAGCCGGACCACUGGGAGAUGUAUGAGACGCUCGGCACGUGGCUGCGCAAGAACAAGGUUCCUGGAAUGAUGAUGGUGGAUACCCGCAGCAUCGUGCUGAAGCUGCGGGACAUGGGUACAGCGCUUGGCAAGGUGCUCGUGGCCGGUAACGAUGUGCCCUUUAUGGACCCGAACACCCGCAACCUGGUGGCGGAGGUAAGCACCAAGACGCGCGUCACGCACGGUCACGGCACGCUGCGCAUCCUCGUGAUCGAUAUGGGGGUGAAGCUGAACACGCUGCGCUGCCUGCUGAAGCACGACGUCACCCUGAUCGUUGUUCCGCACGACUGGGAUAUCACGACGGAGGUGUACGACGGCCUGUUCAUCACCAACGGCCCUGGUAACCCGCAGAUGUGCACGAGCACCAUUCGCAGCGUGCGCUGGGCCCUUCAGCAGGACAAGCCGAUCUUUGGUAUCUGCAUGGGCAACCAGAUGCUCUGCCUCGCCGCUGGCGGAACGACCUAUAAGAUGAAGUACGGUCACCGCGGCCAGAACCAGCCGUGCAAGUGCAACAUUGACGGUCGCGUCGUCAUCACGACGCAGAACCACGGCUUUGCCGUUGACUUCAAGACACUCCCGUCCGGCGAGUGGGAGGAGUACUUCACGAACUCGAACGACGGCAGCAAUGAGGGGCUGUGGCACAAGACGAAGCCGUUCUGCAGUGUCCAGUUCCAUCCUGAGGGCCGCUGCGGCCCGCAGGACACGGAGUACCUCUUCAGCGAGUACGUGUGCCGCGUGAAGGAGUCGAAGGUGAGGGAGGUGGCGAAGUUCAAGCCGCGCAAAGUGCUGGUGCUCGGCGCCGGCGGCAUCGUCAUCGCGCAGGCCGGCGAGUUCGACUACAGCGGCUCGCAGUGCCUCAAGUCGCUGCGCGAGGAGGGCAUGGAGACGGUGCUCAUCAACCCGAACAUCGCGACGGUGCAGACGGACGACGAGAUGGCCGACCACAUCUACUUUGUGCCGCUCACGGUGGAAGCGGUGGAGCGCGUGAUCGAGAAGGAGCGGCCGGACGGCAUUCUACUCGGCUGGGGCGGUCAGACGGCGCUCAACUGCGGUGUAAAGCUCGACGAGCUCGGCGUCUUAAAGAAGUACAACGUGCAGGUGCUCGGCACGCCCGUGUCCGUCAUUGCCGUGACGGAGGACCGCGAGCUAUUCCGAGACACUCUGCUGCAGAUCAACGAGCAGGUGGCCAAGUCGGCGGCGGUGAUGUCUGUGGAGGAGGCCGUGGCGGCAAGCAAGGACAUCGGCUUCCCGAUGAUGGUGCGCGCGGCCUACUGCCUUGGCGGGCAGGGCAGCGGCAUCGUCGAGAACAUGGAGGAGCUGCGUCACAAGGUCGAGGUGGCGCUGGCAGCGUCGCCGCAGGUGCUGCUGGAGGAGAGCGUGGCUGGCUGGAAGGAGAUCGAGUACGAGGUGGUGCGCGACAUCUACGACAACUGCAUCACCGUCUGCAACAUGGAGAACUUCGACCCCAUGGGAGUUCACACGGGCGAGUCCAUCGUCGUCGCGCCAUCGCAGACGCUGAGCAACGACGAGUUCCACAUGCUGCGCAGCGCCUCUAUCAAGAUCAUUCGCCAUCUCGGCAUCGUGGGCGAGUGCAACAUCCAGUACGGUCUCGACCCUUUCAGCCACCGCUACGUCGUCAUCGAGGUGAACGCUCGUCUGUCGCGCUCGUCGGCGCUGGCCUCCAAGGCCACCGGCUACCCGCUGGCCCACGUCGCCACCAAGAUCGCACUGGGCAAGGGGCUCUUUGAGAUCACGAACGGCGUUACCAAGACGACGAUGGCGUGCUUCGAGCCCAGCAUGGACUAUAUUGCGGUCAAGAUGCCGCGCUGGGACCUUCACAAGUUUAACAUGGUGAGCGAAGAGAUCGGCUCGAUGAUGAAGAGCGUCGGCGAGGUCAUGUCGAUUGGCCGCACCUUCGAGGAGGCCCUGCAGAAGGCGAUUCGCAUGGUGGACCCGAGCUACACCGGCUUCUCCCUUCCAGAUCGCUUCGCCGGCGUCGAUUUCGACUACAUGGAGCACAUCCGCCACCCGACGCCGUAUCGCUUGUUUGCCCUCUGCCGCGCCCUGCUCGACGGACACUCGGCCGAGGAGCUGUACCAGAUGACGAAGAUCACGCGUUUCUUUCUGUACAAGCUGGAGAAACUGGUGCGCCUCUCCAAGGCCACGUCCACGCUGUACGCAAACAAGCUCACCGAGAUGCCACGUGAGAACCUGCUUAACAUGAAGGCGCACGGCUUCUCUGACCGGCAACUUGCCCAGCUCCUCAACAGCACCGCCGCCGACGUGCGCGCGCGCCGUGUGGAGCUGAACGUGAUGCCGCUGAUCAAGCAGAUCGACACGGUUGCCGGCGAGUACCCGGCGGCGCAGUGCUGCUACCUCUACUCUACCUACAACGCCCAACGCGAUGAUGUGCCCUUCACAGAGCGCAUGUACGCCGUGCUCGGCUGCGGGGUCUACCGCAUCGGCAACAGCGUCGAGUUCGACUACGGCGGCGUCCUUGUGGCACGCGAGCUGCGCCGGCUCGGCAACAAGGUGAUCCUGAUCAACUACAAUCCCGAGACAGUGUCGACAGACUACGACGAGUGCGACCGCCUGUACUUUGACGAGGUGUCUGAGGAGACGGUGCUCGACAUCCUCACGAAGGAGCGCGUGCGCGGCGUCGUCAUCUCGCUGGGCGGCCAGAUUGUGCAGAACAUGGCCCUGAGCCUCAAGAAGAGUGGGCUGCCGAUUCUCGGCACUGACCCGGCGAACAUCGACAUGGCUGAGGAUCGCAACAAGUUCUCGAAGAUGUGCGACGAACUCGGCGUGCCGCAGCCGGAGUGGAUCUCGGCCACGUCGGUCGAGCAGGUGCACGAGUUCUGCGACACCGUCGGCUACCCUGCCCUGGUGCGUCCGAGCUACGUGCUGAGCGGGUCGGCCAUGGCCGUCAUUGCUAACAAGGAGGACGUGACGCGCUACCUGAAGGAGGCCUCCUUUGUCUCUGGCGAGCACCCGGUGGUGGUAAGCAAGUACUACGAGGCCGCCACGGAGUACGAUGUCGACAUCGUCGCCCACCACGGUCGCGUGCUGUGCUACGCCAUCUGCGAGCACGUUGAAAAUGCCGGCGUGCACUCUGGGGAUGCGACGAUGUUCCUGCCCCCGCAGAACACCGACAAGGACACAAUGAAGCGCAUAUACGACUCCGUCAACCGCAUCGCUGAGAAGCUGGACGUGGUGGGGCCGAUGAACGUGCAGUUCCUGCUGACGGCGGAGGGCCAGCUGCGCGUGAUUGAGGCGAACGUGCGCAGCUCCCGCUCCGUUCCAUUUGUGUCGAAGACGCUCGGCAUCUCUUUCCCUUCCGUGAUGGUGUCCGCUUUCCUGGCGCGCAAGGACCAGAACCUUGUGCCCAUCAAGCGCGCCAAGAUGACGCACAUUGGGUGCAAGGCCUCCAUGUUCAGCUUUAACCGCCUGGCCGGCGCGGACCCGAUCCUCGGCGUCGAGAUGGCCUCCACUGGUGAGAUCGGCGUCUUUGGCCGCGACAAGCACGAGGUGUUUCUCAAGGCAAUGCUGUGCCAGAACUUCAAGAUCCCGGAGAAGGGCGUCUUCUUUAGCAGUGACGUGGACAGCCAGACGGAGGCACUCUGCCCGUACAUUCAGCACCUUGUGCGGCGUGGGCUGAAGGUGUACGGCACGACCAAGACGGCGGCGGUGCUACACGAGUACGGCAUCCAGUGCGAGGUGCUCCUCCAGCGCGGCGAGUUGCCGUCCGGCGACGCGUCCGAGAGCAACCGUCUCGCGGUGUACGAUGAGGAAGUGGCAAAGAAGGAGAAGUUUGAUCUUGUGAUUCAGCUUCGUGACAAGAGGCGGGACUUUGUGCUGCGCCGCUGCACCCGCGAGACUGCCCCGCCGGACUACUGGGUGCGCCGCCUCGCCGUCGACUACAACAUUCCUCUGCUGACGGAGCCAAGCAUUGUUAAAAUGUUCUGCGAGUGCAUGGACCUGCCCGCGUCGUCUAUCGAGAUUGAGCCGUUCCGCCACUACGUGCCGAAGAUCUACCACAAGGUCGAGAACAACAACUGCGCCAUGUUGCGGUGCCACAAGGUUGGGCUGAUGAUUACCAACAACAACGAUAGCAAGGUGCUGGCGCUGCGUCUGAGCCAGGAGGGGCUCAACAUCACGUGCUUUCACGCCUACCUCGGUGGGUCGGACAUCGAUCACUUCGAGCAGGCGUUUCAGAGCCUGAACGUGCCGGUCGAGGUGGUCGACCUGCGCUCGGAGAUCGCGAACUCGGCGUUCGACCUCAUCAUGUGCCAGUCCGCCGACGAGCGCCACAACUGGCAUCUCUCGAAACUUAGCUGGUACAUCUUCGGCAAGUACCUCAUCCCGGUGAUGCGCCAGCGUCGCAUGUCCGUGGUGGCGCAGACGUCGAAGCAGAACAAGAAGGAGGCGGGCUUCGAGAAGUACGUGCAGAGCAACUGCCCUGAGAUGGGCGUCUACAACGCGUGGCGCGACGCGCGGCUGAUGGAGGAUUUCGAGACGGUGGCCGACCAGAUCAGCUUCCUGCGGAAGCACGGCAUCAAGGCGACGGUGAAGAGCAACGUCCAGGUGCACAGUUCCGUAUGCGGUAGCACCUACUACGGCGACGACAUGCGUAGCCUGCCGGCGCCAUCGCUGGUGAAGCCGGUGCGCGAGUGCAGCGUGACGCCCGAGUUCGUGUCCCUCACCUUCCGCGGUGCGCGCUGCGUGAACAUCAACGGUAUCGACGUAACGCCGCUGCUGGCGCUGCAGAUGGCAAACGAGAUCGCCGGCCGCAACGGCGUCGGCAUCACCCGCACGCGCGAGGGCGCCAUGUACGAGACACCGGGCAUGAAUCUGCUCUCCGUCGGCCUGCAGUUCCUAUACGACGUUUCUUUCGACCGCUGUGCCGCGGACCUGUUCCGCAUAUACUCGCGCCACGUGUCACAAAACAUCGGCGCUGGCCAGCUGUCAGAGAAGCACACGCAGUCCGCCAUCGAGGCGGUGCGCUUCCUGACGAGCGAUGUGAGCGGUGUGGUGGAGCUGGAGCUGCACCAGGGCGAGAUCAUCUUCCUGAAGCUGUCGCACGUGCAGAACCCGGUUGACCGUCGUGUCGCGCCGCAGCUGGUAACCGAGGAGGAGCUCGAGGAGGUUUUCCAGCCCGGCAACGGCUCCUUCAGCGACGUGCAGUGGUAGACGCGUAUACACGCCAACACGCGCGCAAGCACGUGCAGGCGAGAAGUGGCAAUUCAAAGUGCGCGCGUGCCUCUCUAGGCUGCUGUCGCUGCCGCGGUCUCUCCGUUGCAGUUACGGAUGCCGCUGCUCUAUUUUGUCGCUGCUCGCACGCCUUUCCGCUGGUGUCCGUGCAACUUGUGUAUGUGUGUGUGGUGGGUGUCGCGUGACGAGAGGCCUGCGAUGCUGUUGUUGGCCGUGCUUUUCUAAGAUAUCUUCGCCCGUAUUAUUCGUUUCGUCUUCGACUGCUUCAUGCUCCCCCCCUCCCCCCCGCCGCCGUGUGACGCCUUCACCUCUUAGCGUCUGCUGGGUGCACCGCUGCCUCGUGUGUGGGUGUGAGCGUGGGUUUGGGCGCAUAGGUGGGAUACGUCGAAACUAUUCAGCGAAGCAACCGCACGAGGCGAAGGACAAGACGCCGGUGGUGUGUCCGCGUUGCUGUGCGCUUGUCAAGGGGCGCACAUGGCAGCCCGCAUCCAGACGUGUGCCAAUUGGACGGGGAGAGCAGGAGAUGCGGGGAUGGGGGGAGCAUGGGGGAGGGAAGCUGACGUCUGUACGCCCCCUCCCUCUUUCUUCCGGCGGAUAUAUGAUGCGCACCGCUUCCGCCAUGUGCGUGUGCGCGCGCUCUUUCUUUCUCGUGUUGCCACGCUCUCCGUCUGUAUUGAUGUGCAAUGAUCCGUUUAUACUGUAGCGCUUCGUGCCCUUGUCGCUCUUCGCUCCCUCCUUCCCUCCCUCAUCUUCCGUGCACGUGCGCUCACGCCUUUCUCUCGUGGCUCGUGUGGGACUUGUGAGGCAAUGGGGAGGAUGGGGGUAGUGGUGGAGUGCGCGUGCGAGGGGCCCGAUGCCUGCCGUCGUGGGUGUCGAGCACCCGUUGGGGCGGCCGCAACGGCCACCACCCAUCCGUCGGCCCUCUUCCUCUCCUCUGCCCAACCGACGGGGAUGCUGAGGAAGGCGAGGGAGGGAGAGAGGAUACCGGGCGCGGCGAGACGGCAGAGGCUUAGCGUUUGGAUGUGCGUGUGUGCGUGUCACUGGCUUAAGUACAUUGAGACCGUAAG
This 8286-nucleotide unclassified non-coding RNA is filed under the name Leishmania donovani. Its description in RNAcentral is "gene:LdHU3.16.0720(CDS-product:carbamoyl-phosphat e_synthase_putative)". The record is from RNAcentral. Lineage: Eukaryota; Euglenozoa; Kinetoplastea; Trypanosomatida; Trypanosomatidae.